This 337-nucleotide unclassified non-coding RNA is filed under the name soil metagenome. RNAcentral describes it as "partial contains 5.8S ribosomal RNA, internal transcribed spacer 2, and large subunit ribosomal RNA". The stretch from base 1 to 120 matches the Rfam family "5.8S ribosomal RNA", at positions 35 to 154 of the family's 154-position model. The record is from RNAcentral.
GAUGAAGAACGUAGCGAAAUGCGAUAAGUAGUGUGAAUUGCAGAAUUCAGUGAAUCAUCGAAUCUUUGAACGCACAUUGCGCCCCUUGGUAUUCCAUGGGGCAUGCCUGUUCGAGCGUCAUUUGUACCCUCAAGCUUUGCUUGGUGUUGGGUGUUUGUCCCGCGUUGCGCGUGGACUCGCCUUAAAGCGAUUGGCAGCCGGCAUAUUGGCCUUGGAGCGCAGCACAUUUUGCGCUUCUAGUCAUGAAUGUUGGCGUCCAUUAAGCCUAUAUAUUUGCUCUUGACCUCGGAUCAGGUAGGGAUACCCGCUGAACUUAAGCAUAUCAAUAAGCGGAGGA